Molecule: ribosomal RNA, 253 nt
Filed under: uncultured bacterium
Lineage: Bacteria
Description: partial 16S ribosomal RNA
Rfam family: Bacterial small subunit ribosomal RNA
Source: RNAcentral
UACGUAGGGGCCUAGCGUUGUCCGGAUUUACUGGGCGUAAAGAGCGCGCAGGCGGUCGUAUAAGUCGAAUGUGAAAGCCCCUGGCUCAACUAGGGAGAGUCAUUCGAUACUGUUCGACUCGAAGGCAGGAGAGGGAAGUGGAAUUCCGGGUGUAGUGGUGAAAUGCGUAGAUAUCCGGAGGAACACCAGUGGCGAAGGCGACUUUCUGGCCUGUUCUUGACGCUGAGGCGCGAAAGCUAGGGGAGCAAACGGG